This 1080-nucleotide ribosomal RNA is filed under the name uncultured archaeon. RNAcentral's name for it is "bacterial SSU rRNA". It matches the Rfam family "Archaeal small subunit ribosomal RNA", at positions 345 to 1429 of the family's 1478-position model. The record is from RNAcentral.
AAACUUCACAAUGGGGGAAACCCCGAUGAGGGAAUUCCAAGUGCCAGCACAUUGUGUUGGCUGUUCCCCUGUCUAAAAAACAGGAGAAGUAAGGGCCGGGUAAGACGGGUGCCAGCCGCCGCGGUAAUACCCGCGGCCCGAGUGGUGGUCGAUAUUAUUGAGCCUAAAACGUUCGUAGCCGGUCUUGUAAAUCCUUGGGUAAAUCGGCCAGCUUAACUGUCCGAAGUCCGGGGAGACUGCAAGACUUGGGAUCGGGAGAGGUCAGAGGUACUUCUGGGGGUAGGGGUAAAAUCCUGUAAUCCUAGAAGGACCACCGGUGGCGAAGGCGUCUGACUAGAACGAAUUCGACGGUGAGGAACGAAGCCCUGGGGCGCAAACGGGAUUAGAUACCCCGGUAGUCCAGGGUGUAAACGCUGCGGGCUUGGUGUUGGGGGUCCUUAGUGGGCGCCCAGUGCCGGAGAGAAGUUGUUAAGCCUGCUGCUUGGGGAGUAUGUCCGCAAGGAUGAAACUUAAAGGAAUUGGCGGGGGAGCACCGCAACGGGAGGAGCGUGCGGUUCAAUUGGAUUCAACGCCGGACAACUCACCAGGAGCGACUAUUACAUGAAGGCCAGGCUGAUGACCUUGCCUGAUUUUUAGAGAGGUGGUGCAUGGCCGUCGUCAGUUCGUACCGUAAGGCGUUCUCUUAAGUGAGAUAACGAACGAGACCCUCACCGUUAAUUGCUAACUUUCUCUCCGGAGGGAGUGCACAUUAAUGGGACCGCUUUCGCUAAGAAAGAGGAAGGAGAGGUCAACGGUAGGUCCGUAUGCCCCGAAUCUCCUGGGCUACACGCGCGCUACAAAGGUUGGGACAAUGGGUUCCUACAUCGAAAGGUGACGGCAAUCCCGAAACCCAAUCGUAGUUCGGAUUGAGGGCUGUAACUCGCCCUCAUGAAGCUGGAUUCCGUAGUAAUCGCGGAUCAACAAUCCGCGGUGAAUAUGCCCCUGCUCCUUGCACACACCGCCCGUCAAACCACCCGAGUUGGGUUUCAGUAAGGGUAUCUCAAUUUGGGGUAUUCGAACUGAGAUUCAGCAAGGAGGGUU